This 71-nucleotide microRNA precursor is filed under the name Myotis lucifugus (little brown bat). RNAcentral describes it as "mir-9193 microRNA precursor family". It matches the Rfam family "mir-9193 microRNA precursor family". The record is from Rfam by way of RNAcentral. Lineage: Eukaryota; Metazoa; Chordata; Mammalia; Chiroptera; Vespertilionidae.
CUCAGGGAGGGGUGCCUCAGCCCAGAUUGCGAGAGGGCACAGGCCAGGCUGAGGGACUCCACUGGUGCACA